This 152-nucleotide ribosomal RNA is filed under the name uncultured bacterium. RNAcentral describes it as "partial 16S ribosomal RNA". It matches the Rfam family "Bacterial small subunit ribosomal RNA", at positions 524 to 676 of the family's 1533-position model. The record is from RNAcentral.
UACGGAGGGUGCAAGCGUUAAUCGGAAUUACUGGGCGUAAAGCGCGCGUAGGUGGUUGAUAGCGAGAUGUGAAAGCCCCGGGCUUAACCUGGGAACGGCAUUUCGAACUGUCAGGCUAGAGUAUGGUAGAGGAGUUGUGGAAGUUUACCUGG